UCCUACGGGGCGCAGCAGUGGGGGAUAUUGCACAAUGGGGGAAACCCUGAUGCAGCGACGCCGCGUGGGCGAAGAAGUAUUUCGGUAUGUAAAGCCCUAUCAGCAGGGAAGAAGAAAUGACGGUACCUGAGUAAGAAGCACCGGCUAAAUACGUGCCAGCAGCCGCGGUAAUACGUAGGGGGCAAGCGUUAUCCGGAUUUACUGGGUGUAAAGGGAGCGUAGACGGUUAUGCAAGUCUGAAGUGAAAGCCCAAGGCUCAACCAUGGGACUGCUUUGGAAACUGUAAAACUGGAGUGCAGGAGAGG
This 305-nucleotide ribosomal RNA is filed under the name uncultured bacterium. RNAcentral's name for it is "bacterial SSU rRNA". It matches the Rfam family "Bacterial small subunit ribosomal RNA", at positions 337 to 657 of the family's 1533-position model. The record is from RNAcentral.